This 462-nucleotide ribosomal RNA is filed under the name uncultured ammonia-oxidizing beta proteobacterium. RNAcentral's name for it is "bacterial SSU rRNA". It matches the Rfam family "Bacterial small subunit ribosomal RNA", at positions 202 to 647 of the family's 1533-position model. The record is from RNAcentral. Lineage: Bacteria; Pseudomonadati; Pseudomonadota; Betaproteobacteria.
AAGCAGGGGAUCGCAAGACCUUGCGCUUUUGGAGCGGCCGAUGCCUGAUUAGCUAGUUGGUAGGGUAAUGGCUUACCAAGGCGACGAUCAGUAGUUGGUCUGAGAGGACGACCAGCCACACUGGGACUGAGACACGGCCCAGACUCCUACGGGAGGCAGCAGUGGGGAAUUUUGGACAAUGGGCGAAAGCCUGAUCCAGCAAUGCCGCGUGAGUGAAGAAGGCCUUCGGGUUGUAAAGCUCUUUCAGUCGAGAAGAAAAGGUUGUGACUAAUAAUCACAACUCAUGACGGUAUCGACAGAAGAAGCACCGGCUAACUACGUGCCAGCAGCCGCGGUAAUACGUAGGGUGCGAGCGUUAAUCGGAAUUACUGGGCGUAAAGGGUGCGCAGGCGGCUUUGUAAGUCAGAUGUGAAAUCCCCGGGCUUAACCUGGGAAUUGCGUUUGAAACUACAAAGCUAGAGU